AGGAUUAGAUACCCUGGUAGUCCACGCCGUAAACGAUGAGUGCUAAGUGUUGGAGGGUUUCCGCCCUUCAGUGCUGCAGCUAACGCAUUAAGCACUCCGCCUGGGGAGUACGACCGCAAGGUUGAAACUCAAAGGAAUUGACGGGGGCCCGCACAAGCGGUGGAGCAUGUGGUUUAAUUCGAAGCAACGCGAAGAACCUUACCAGGUCUUGACAUCCUUUGACCACUCUAGAGAUAGAGCUUCCCCUUCGGGGGCAAAGUGACAGGUGGUGCAUGGUUGUCGUCAGCUCGUGUCGUGAGAUGUUGGGUUAAGUCCCGCAACGAGCGCAACCCUUAUUGUUAGUUGCCAUCAUUNAGUUGGGCACUCUAGCAAGACUGCCGGUGACAAACCGGAGGAAGGUGGGGAUGACGUCAAAUCAUCAUGCCCCUUAUGACCUGGGCUACACACGUGCUACAAUGGGAAGUACAACGAGUUGCGAAGUCGCGAGGCUAAGCUAAUCUCUUAAAGCUUCUCUCAGUUCGGAUUGCA
RNAcentral lists this ribosomal RNA (528 nucleotides) under Enterococcus faecium. RNAcentral describes it as "bacterial SSU rRNA". It matches the Rfam family "Bacterial small subunit ribosomal RNA", at positions 774 to 1302 of the family's 1533-position model. Lineage: Bacteria; Bacillati; Bacillota; Bacilli; Lactobacillales; Enterococcaceae. The record is from RNAcentral.